UCCAGACUCCUACGGGAGGCAGCAGUGGGGAAUAUUGCACAAUGGGGGGAACCCUGAUGCAGCGAUGCCGCGUGGAGGAAGAAGGUUUUCGGAUUGUAAACUCCUUUUAUCAGGGACGAUAAUGACGGUACCCACAGAGGAAGCACCGGCUAACUCCGUGCCAGCAGCCGCGGUAAUACGGAGGGUGCAAGCGUUGUCCGGAAUCAUUGGGCGUAAAGAGUUCGUAGGCGGUAUGUUAAGUCUGGUGUUAAAUGCAGAAGCUCAACUUCUGUUCGGCACUGGAUACUGGCAAACUAGAAUGCGGUAGAGGUAAAGGGAAUUCCUGGUGUAGCGGUGAAAUGCUUAGAUAUCAGGAGGAACAUCGGUGGCGUAAGCGCUUUACUGGGCCGUAAUUGACGCUGAGGAACGAAAGCCAGGGUAGCAAAUGGGAUUAGAUACCCGCGUA
This 445-nucleotide ribosomal RNA is filed under the name uncultured bacterium. RNAcentral's name for it is "bacterial SSU rRNA". It matches the Rfam family "Bacterial small subunit ribosomal RNA", at positions 330 to 792 of the family's 1533-position model. The record is from RNAcentral.